This 497-nucleotide ribosomal RNA is filed under the name uncultured bacterium. RNAcentral's name for it is "partial 16S ribosomal RNA". It matches the Rfam family "Bacterial small subunit ribosomal RNA", at positions 28 to 507 of the family's 1533-position model. The record is from RNAcentral.
GACGAACGCUGGCGGCGUGCCUAAUACAUGCAAGUAGAACGCUGAAGGAAGGAGCUUGCUCUUUCUGGAUGAGUUGCGAACGGGUGAGUAACGCGUAGGUAACCUGCCUGGUAGCGGGGGAUAACUAUUGGAAACGAUAGCUAAUACCGCAUAAAAUUGAUUAUUGCAUGAUAGUCAAUUAAAAGGUGCAACUGCACCACUACCAGAUGGACCUGCGUUGUAUUAGCUAGUUGGUGGGGUAACGGCUCACCAAGGCGACGAUACAUAGCCGACCUGAGAGGGUGAUCGGCCACACUGGGACUGAGACACGGCCCAGACUCCUACGGGAGGCAGCAGUAGGGAAUCUUCGGCAAUGGACGGAAGUCUGACCGAGCAACGCCGCGUGAGUGAAGAAGGUUUUCGGAUCGUAAAGCUCUGUUGUAAGAGAAGAACGAGUGUGAGAGUGGAAAGUUCACACUGUGACGGUAUCUUACCAGAAAGGGACGGCUAACUGCGUG